Molecule: ribosomal RNA, 1432 nt
Filed under: uncultured organism
Description: 16S ribosomal RNA
Rfam family: Bacterial small subunit ribosomal RNA
Source: RNAcentral
CAGGCUUAACACAUGCAAGUCGAGGGGCAGCAUGGUCUUAGCUUGCUAAGGCCGAUGGCGACCGGCGCACGGGUGAGUAACACGUAUCCAACCUGCCGUCUACUCUUGGACAGCCUUCUGAAAGGAAGAUUAAUACAAGAUGGCAUCAUGAGUCCGCAUGUUCACAUGAUUAAAGGUAUUCCGGUAGACGAUGGGGAUGCGUUCCAUUAGAUAGUAGGCGGGGUAACGGCCCACCUAGUCUUCGAUGGAUAGGGGUUCUGAGAGGAAGGUCCCCCACAUUGGAACUGAGACACGGUCCAAACUCCUACGGGAGGCAGCAGUGAGGAAUAUUGGUCAAUGGGCGAGAGCCUGAACCAGCCAAGUAGCGUGAAGGAUGACUGCCCUAUGGGUUGUAAACUUCUUUUAUAAAGGAAUAAAGUCGGGUAUGGAUACCCGUUUGCAUGUACUUUAUGAAUAAGGAUCGGCUAACUCCGUGCCAGCAGCCGCGGUAAUACGGAGGAUCCGAGCGUUAUCCGGAUUUAUUGGGUUUAAAGGGAGCGUAGAUGGAUGUUUAAGUCAGUUGUGAAAGUUUGCGGCUCAACCGUAAAAUUGCAGUUGAUACUGGAUAUCUUGAGUGCAGUUGAGGCAGGCGGAAUUCGUGGUGUAGCGGUGAAAUGCUUAGAUAUCACGAAGAACUCCGAUUGCGAAGGCAGCCUGCUAAGCUGCAACUGACAUUGAGGCUCGAAAGUGUGGGUAUCAAACAGGAUUAGAUACCCUGGUAGUCCACACGGUAAACGAUGAAUACUCGCUGUUUGCGAUAUACUGCAAGCGGCCAAGCGAAAGCGUUAAGUAUUCCACCUGGGGAGUACGCCGGCAACGGUGAAACUCAAAGGAAUUGACGGGGGCCCGCACAAGCGGAGGAACAUGUGGUUUAAUUCGAUGAUACGCGAGGAACCUUACCCGGGCUUAAAUUGCAGAUGAAUUACGGUGAAAGCCGUAAGCCGCAAGGCAUCUGUGAAGGUGCUGCAUGGUUGUCGUCAGCUCGUGCCGUGAGGUGUCGGCUUAAGUGCCAUAACGAGCGCAACCCUUGUUGUCAGUUACUAACAGGUUCCGCUGAGGACUCUGACAAGACUGCCAUCGUAAGAUGUGAGGAAGGUGGGGAUGACGUCAAAUCAGCACGGCCCUUACGUCCGGGGCUACACACGUGUUACAAUGGGGGGUACAGAGGGCCGCUACCACGCGAGUGGAUGCCAAUCCCCAAAACCUCUCUCAGUUCGGACUGGAGUCUGCAACCCGACUCCACGAAGCUGGAUUCGCUAGUAAUCGCGCAUCAGCCACGGCGCGGUGAAUACGUUCCCGGGCCUUGUACACACCGCCCGUCAAGCCGUGGGAGCCGGGGGUACCUGAAGUGCGUAACCGCGAGGAGCGCCCUAGGGUAAAACUGGUGACUGGG